Molecule: ribosomal RNA, 789 nt
Filed under: Enterobacter cancerogenus
Lineage: Bacteria; Pseudomonadati; Pseudomonadota; Gammaproteobacteria; Enterobacterales; Enterobacteriaceae
Description: bacterial SSU rRNA
Rfam family: Bacterial small subunit ribosomal RNA
Source: RNAcentral
UGCAGUCGAGCGGUAGCACAGAGAGCUUGCUCUCGGGUGACGAGCGGCGGACGGGUGAGUAAUGUCUGGGAAACUGCCUGAUGGAGGGGGAUAACUACUGGAAACGGUAGCUAAUACCGCAUAACGUCGCAAGACCAAAGAGGGGGACCUUCGGGCCUCUUGCCAUCAGAUGUGCCCAGAUGGGAUUAUCUAUUAGGUGGGGUAACGGCUCACCUAGGCGACGAUCCCUAUCUGGUCUGAGAGGAUGACCAGCCACACUGGAACUGAGACACGGUCCAGACUCCUACGGGAGGCAGCAGUGGGGAAUAUUGCGCAAUGGGCGCAAGCCUGAUGCAGCCAUGCCGCGUGUAUGAAAAAGGCCUUCGGGUUGUAAAGUACUUUCAGCGGGGAGGAAGGCGAUAAGGGUAAUAACCUUGUCGAUUGACGUUACCCGCAGAAAAAACACCGGCUAACUCCGUGCCAGCAGCCGCGGUAAUACGGAGGGUGCAAGCGUUAAUCGGAAUUACUGGGCGUAAAGCGCACGCAGGCGGUCUGUCAAGUCGGAUGUGAAAUCCCCGGGCUCAACCUGGGAACUGCGUUCGAAACUGGCAGGCUAUAGUCUUGUAUAGGGGGGUAGAAUUCCAGGUGUAGCGGUGAAAUGCGUAGAGAUCUGGAGGAAUACAGGUGGCGAAGGCGGCCCCCUCGGACAAAGACUGACGCUCACGUGCGAAAGCGUGGGGAGCAAACAGGAUUAUAUACCCUGUUAGUCCACGCCGCAAACGAUGUCGACUUGUAGAUUGUGCCCUUGAG